This 253-nucleotide ribosomal RNA is filed under the name uncultured bacterium. Its description in RNAcentral is "partial 16S ribosomal RNA". It matches the Rfam family "Bacterial small subunit ribosomal RNA", at positions 524 to 776 of the family's 1533-position model. The record is from RNAcentral.
UACGAAGGGGGCUAGCGUUGCUCGGAAUGACUGGGCGUAAAGGGCGCGUAGGCGGAUUGUACAGUCAGGCGUGAAAUUCCCGGGCUCAACCUGGGGGCUGCGCUUGAGACGUGCGAUCUUGAGUGGGGAAGAGGGUCGUGGAAUUCCCAGUGUAGAGGUGAAAUUCGUAGAUAUCGGGAGGAACACCAGUGGCGAAGGCGGCGACCUGGGCCAAUAUUGACGCUGAGGUGCGAAAGCGCGGGGAGCAAACAGG